UGAGAUCUUGACGUGUUCAGAAGAGGAAAAUUCAGAGUUGUUUCAUGCUGUUCUUGGUGGUUUGGGUCAGUUUGGAAUCAUCACAAGGGCUAGAAUUUCCCUUGAACCAGCCCAGCUCCUCAGAGGGUGAGGUGGAUCAGGGUACUCUACUCUAGCUUUUCGUCUUUUACCAGAGACCAAGAAUAUCUCAUUUCUCUGUAUGGAAAUCCACCCAGCCAAAAAUUCGAUUACGUUGAAGGUUUUGUUAUUGUAGAUGAAGGUCUUAUUAACAACUGGAGAUCCUCUUUCUUUUCCCCUCGAAACCCAGUUAAGAUUAGCUCAAUUGGUGCUAAAGGUACUGGUGUUCUUUACUGCUUGGAAAUCACCAAGAAUUAUCACCAAUCCUCUGUGGACACCAUUGANGGAAGUAGAGUCCCUGUUAAAGAAGCUGAAUUUUAUUCCAUCAUCAGUGUUCACGACGGAUCUGCCUUACGUUGAUUUCCUGGACAGAGUCCACAAGGCC
Molecule: unclassified non-coding RNA, 502 nt
Filed under: Hevea brasiliensis (rubber tree)
Lineage: Eukaryota; Viridiplantae; Streptophyta; Magnoliopsida; Malpighiales; Euphorbiaceae
Source: RNAcentral